GAAUAUUGGACAAUGGGGGCAACCCUGAUCCAGCCAUGCCGCGUGUGUGAAGAAGGCCUUUUGGUUGUCAAUCACUUUAAGCUGUGAAGAACACUCCAUGGUUAAUACCCAUGGACGAUGACCUUAGCUGCAGAAUAAGCUCAGGCUAACUCUGUGUCAGCAGCGGCGGUAAUACAGAGGGUGCAAGCGUUAAGCGGAAGUACUGGGCGUAAAGCGAGCGUAGGUGGCUUGAUAAGUCAGAUGUGAAGUCCCCGGGCUUAACCUGGGAACUGCAUCUGAUACUGUUAGGCUAGAAUAGGUGAGAGGAAGGUAGAAUUCCAGGUGUAGCGGUGAAAUGCGUAGAGAUCUGGAGGAAUACCGAUGGCGAAGGCAGCCUUCUGGCAUCAUAUUGACACUGAGGUUCGAAAGCGUGGGUAGCAAAC
This 422-nucleotide ribosomal RNA is filed under the name uncultured bacterium. RNAcentral describes it as "partial 16S ribosomal RNA". It matches the Rfam family "Bacterial small subunit ribosomal RNA", at positions 359 to 773 of the family's 1533-position model. The record is from RNAcentral.